Non-coding RNA from Pelobates cultripes (western spadefoot toad), 266 nucleotides. Lineage: Eukaryota; Metazoa; Chordata; Amphibia; Anura; Pelobatidae. The record is from the annotation of a GenBank genome assembly.
AGUGUAUCCAUAGAUGUUACAUCUUUGCUGCAAGACGAGAUUAACCCUUUAAAGACUUUUACCCAGAACUUUUGGACUCUUAAGCAAGUUUUAAAUAUUUUUUUGUGCAUAAUCAAACUUAUUGUGAUAUAUAGAGUUUGAUAUAUACAUAAUACUAAUGCACAGUUAUAAGUUGUUGGUUUUCACAUUUACACUGCCAAUUGUAAGGCUAUCAUAUAUAGCGAUGACAUUCAUUUUGUCAGUAUUUGUAAUAUUGUUAAGCGAGC